AUUGCUUGCUUAUAGGUGAAGGAUCACUACAUGCAUGCAGAAGGUGCUGAUGUUGUCCAACAUAUAAUAGAUAAUUUUCUUCUAUAGAAGUCAAUCAAAUCUGAAGCACAUUGGAUCGUGGUGGAGAAUACUGAAUUUACAAGGUCAGAAUUGUACUAGUGUCUUGUGAUUACAACAUUUAUGAAAUUUACAGUAAGCAGUUUUGUUAACUCAAUAAUGUCCUAAUGUAACCUUAAACCUGUUUCAUUCUCAAUGAAAAAACAUUAUUUUUCCAUGUUAGAA
This is a long non-coding RNA of Solanum stenotomum, 282 nucleotides long. RefSeq lists it as uncharacterized. The record is from RefSeq and is a predicted model, not a curated record. The transcript is spliced from 2 exons. NCBI's taxonomy places the organism in Eukaryota, Viridiplantae, Streptophyta, Magnoliopsida, Solanales, Solanaceae.